GCUAAUGUUAACAUUCUUUGGCUUGUGCAAUAUAUUGACUUUAAUAAUAUCAUGUACACUAUUUAAACAAAUUCUAUAUUUAGCUAUGGAAUACUAUCUGUUCGUUAUCAUUGUUAAUUUGCACCUUCUCUACUUGGAGAAAUAAAUCUGUAUUGUAGCAGAACUGUUAUUUUUUUUUAUAUUUAUAUUAAUUUGUUGAUUAAAUAACGAUUUCAAAAUUAUUUGUUAUCUUUAAUCCAAAAAAUUCUGAAACAGCGGUGACUCUAAUCAAGUAAGAAAUAAUUAAAAACCAUAUUACAUAAUAUACAGGCAACUCGGAAUUUGAUUUAGUUGAUUUACAGUCUGGUCCAAAAAGAUUCAUAUUAGUGGUAAAUCAUGUAUAAAACUAACAGCAUAGUAAUUAUAUUGUAUAUUAAAUAUAUAUUUUAAUUGCUAUUAAGCCUAUUAUUAAUAGCUAAUGAAUUAUAUUUAGCUAAUUCCAAUAACAAAACCAUGGCUUCAAUCCUUCAUUUUAUUAUGUGGAUCUAGAGGUCUUAAAAAUGGAAAACUAGCAAAGCAUGAUGCUCAUUCUAGUACAAAAACUCAUAAAUAACUGUUAAAAAACUGACACUGUUCAUACCCAGAUAAUAAUUCAAUCUAAACUAGAAGUUGAAGCUUAUAGGGAAUAUAUGAAAAGUCUAAUUAACAUAACAAUUUAUUGAGUAUCAAAAGAAUGGCCCAACACAAUAAAAAUAAUUCAUCAUUAAAUCAAUUUAUGUGGAUCUAGAGGUCUUAAAAAUGGAAAACUAACAAAGCUUGAUGCUCAUUUUAGUACAUAAACUCAUUUAACUCAUAUUGCUAAAUGGACAGGACAUUAUAAAGUAACUGUAAAAAUAACUGACACUGUUCAUACCCAACUAGUAACUCAAUCUAAACUAGAAGUUAUCACUAAUAGGGAAUAUAACAAAAGUUUAAUUGAUAUAACAAUAUAUUGAGUAUCCAAAGAAUGGUCUGACACAACUAAAAUAAUUCAUCAUUAAAUCAAGAUAGGGAACUAAUUUAAGUAAUCAAAUCACCUAAUAAUAAGUAAUUAAAACUGAGAAGAUAUAAUUAUUAAUCUCUUAAUAAAUAAUUUUUCUUGGGAAAUUUCAACAAAACUUGUGUUUUAUUUCCAAGCAUAAACCUAAGUUUUCUGAAAUAUUCAACAAAGAAACAAAUCACACUAGUCAGCAUAUUCAAAAUGAAAUAAUUAAAAUAUGUACAAAAGGCUCAAGAGAUUCAUUUAUAGAAGAAAUUAGUACACAGAUUUUUAGUAUAAUGUUUAAUGAAGCAAGAUGUUAUAUAGAAGAACAAAUGUUUUAUAUUAUUUUAAAACUUGUAAAUUAAACACUAAAGCUCAAAUAAUUUUACAAAUCUAUGAUUUUUCUAACAUCAU
Long non-coding RNA from Daktulosphaira vitifoliae (grape phylloxera), 1414 nucleotides. RefSeq lists it as uncharacterized. The record is from RefSeq and is a predicted model, not a curated record. Lineage: Eukaryota; Metazoa; Arthropoda; Insecta; Hemiptera; Phylloxeridae. The transcript has 4 exons.